Long non-coding RNA from Lactuca sativa (garden lettuce), 1091 nucleotides. RefSeq lists it as uncharacterized. Lineage: Eukaryota; Viridiplantae; Streptophyta; Magnoliopsida; Asterales; Asteraceae. The record is from RefSeq and is a predicted model, not a curated record.
AGCCAGCUUGCCCAAAAAGUAGCUGGGUUUGGUUUUUCAAGAGAUAGAAGCUCCAUUUUAUAUAAUAAGUUGCUUUUAACGAAUGCUCCCAGCAGCGAUGUGGGAUGAAUUUUAAUUGUUUCAUAUAACUUCUUAGCAUCUCAUUCUUCCCCACUUUUCUUUCUUUGAUCGCUCGCAACUUUAGGUCACUAGCCCCAACUUUCUUUGAUUCACCCUUUUGUUUCUUUGAUCGACCGAACGAUUCACCACUUUCUUUCUUUGAUCGAUCACCGGUUCCACCAGUUGCUUCAAUUUCCCUUUUCCUUCUUUGAUCGAUUUUCGGUUCCAUCAGUUGAUUCAACCUGAAGUCGAUCGAAAGAUUCACCGUUUUCUUUCCAUGUGUUGACUAUGACCUGUUAGAUAAAAGAAGGGUAGAGAAUUCGAGUUCAGUCGAUGCAAUCAGCAGACAAGUGCUCCAAUUGAUGAUCAUAAGAAAAGAAGGGUAAUGCUACUGUGUACAACUUUCACGAUAUCGCCUUCUACUCUGGUCUUCAUUUCCUUCCAACCUCAUCGUCGCAUUCUUGAAUCAGAGAUGUUGCUUCUCCUCCGACGUCGUCUAUGACUCCGGGAGCCCUCCGAUACUAGUCCUUAUCAUCUAUGCAUGUUAGCUCUUCCUAAAUCGUCCUAAACGCUUAGUAUUCUUCUUGUUGGGAAUUGAUUUGCACAGUUCUUUAUCAAACCACUAAUGUGAUCUGAUGCAGCUACAAAAACAUCUUAGUAAUGCACUUUCUUGUUUAAAUAUGUAAAAUAUCAUUUAUAAUGGAACCUCUCUCUCAAAUUUAGGUUUCCGAAACUGCUAAAUAAUAGCAGUUUUGUUUUGUAUCUCAUAGGGAACUGGGAUACACUUGAGGUAAAGCCAAAGGCAAGACGGGUAGAUACAAUAGAUGAACUCCUCAAAUUCUAUAAAGAAAAAUACCCAACCAACCUCAUGAGUUAUUUAUUAACUUUAUAUAUCAUAUGUAUCAUUUGUAUCAUGAGUGAUUUAUGGUUUUGGCAUACAUAUUCUUAGGAUUAAUGUUAUAUUUAUUAACUUGUUAAUUUGUUUACUUAUA